GGCAGGAGUACGGAUACGGGCGUAAGCGCACGCAGGCGGUCUGUCAGUCGGAUGUGAAAUCCCCGGGCUCAACCUGGGAACUGCAUUCGAAACUGGCAGGCUAGAGUCUUGUAGAGGGGGGUAGAAUUCCAGGUGUAGCGGUGAAAUGCGUAGAGAUCUGGAGGAAUACCGGUGGCGAAGGCGGCCCCCUGGACAAAGACUGACGCUCAGGUGCGAAAGCGUGGGGAGCAAACAGGAUUAGAUACCCUGGUAGUCCACGCCGUAAACGAUGUCGACUUGGAGGUUGUGCCCUUGAGGCGUGGCUUCCGGAGCUAACGCGUUAAGUCGACCGCCUGGGGAGUACGGCCGCAAGGUUAAAACUCAAAUGAAUUGACGGGGGCCCGCACAAGCGGUGGAGCAUGUGGUUUAAUUCGAUGCAACGCGAAGAACCUUACCUACUCUUGACAUCCAGAGAACUUUCCAGAGAUGGAUUGGUGCCUUCGGGAACUCUGAGACAGGUGCUGCAUGGCUGUCGUCAGCUCGUGUUGUGAAAUGUUGGGUUAAGUCCCGCAACGAGCGCAACCCUUAUCCUUUGUUGCCAGCGGUCCGGCCGGGAACUCAAAGGAGACUGCCAGUGAUAAACUGGAGGAAGGUGGGGAUGACGUCAAGUCAUCAUGGCCCUUACGAGUAGGGCUACACACGUGCUACAAUGGCGCAUACAAAGAGAAGCGACCUCGCGAGAGCAAGCGGACCUCAUAAAGUGCGUCGUAGUCCGGAUUGGAGUCUGCACUCGACUCCAUGAAGUCGGAAUCGCUAGUAAUCGUAGAUCAGAAUGCUACGGUGAAUACGUUCCCGGGCCUUGUACACACCGCCGUCACACCAUGGGAGUGGGUUGCAAAAGAAGUAGUAGCUUAACCUUCGGGAGGGCGCUUACCACUUUGUGAUUCAUGACUGGGGUGAGUCUACGG
This 947-nucleotide ribosomal RNA is filed under the name Enterobacter asburiae. Its description in RNAcentral is "bacterial SSU rRNA". It matches the Rfam family "Bacterial small subunit ribosomal RNA", at positions 533 to 1494 of the family's 1533-position model. The record is from RNAcentral. Lineage: Bacteria; Pseudomonadati; Pseudomonadota; Gammaproteobacteria; Enterobacterales; Enterobacteriaceae.